RNAcentral lists this long non-coding RNA (278 nucleotides) under Salvia miltiorrhiza (redroot sage). Its description in RNAcentral is "long non-coding RNA (SMIL_LNC000352)". The record is from RNAcentral. Lineage: Eukaryota; Viridiplantae; Streptophyta; Magnoliopsida; Lamiales; Lamiaceae.
UAGGAUCUGUGUUCUUAUCAAUAUUGUCAACUAAAACAAAUUUCAAAAACUCUUUUUAAUCUUGAGUCCACAUUCAAAUUGGAAGCUCAGCUCAGUUAUCCUCUUAAGAGUAUCAUCAUUGAGAGAUAAACAAAAUAUAUAUAAGAUUUCUUUAAAAAAAAAAACUGCUUAUAUGUAUGUGAUGAAAAACAACCGACCAAAUGAAGAAAUUUGCCGUAAUGAUGUUUGUACAUUAAUGCAUGAACCCAAAUGAUGAAAUUUAAUGCACGAAGCAAAAC